Molecule: long non-coding RNA, 802 nt
Filed under: Medicago truncatula (barrel medic)
Lineage: Eukaryota; Viridiplantae; Streptophyta; Magnoliopsida; Fabales; Fabaceae
Description: lncRNA gene50275
Source: RNAcentral
UUAGCUUACGAGAAGGUCGAUGAUUGUUCCCCAAGCAAUAACACGAAAUCGUCCAAGGCAAGAAUCAGAAAGUAAAGCACCAAAAAGUGGCAUAAAAUUGGAUCCAGCAUUCCACAAGAAUAUUAUGAUAGCCGCAGUUGAAGGCUCUGCAUGAUACUCGUUUAGCAGGUACAAAACCAUGUUCACAUGAAGUCCUACAUUUGCAACCUUCUCAAAAGUCUCAUUUGCUAAAAUAUAUCAAUAAAAAACAAGUUAGAAAAUCAUAACCUUUUUGUUAGAACAAUAAAAAAAUAUGUAUACCAAAGUAAAAUCCAUGAUUAUUAAUACAGUUAAUAUGUUAUUAAUAUAUGAAAUAAGUAGUAAAAAUGUCCUAUAUAGAAAUGAAGGGGUCAUCACCUAUGAUAAAGGGCAUUGUUCUAUAACCACCCUUUUUCCUUUCAACAUGUUCAGUGUCUUUGUUUUGCUCCAUUGACAUCUCCAUUUUCCUUCUACUACACAAGUCUAUGUUAUAAACAAAAUAUAAUUGAGUUGCUAGUUAUUCAAUACAAUAGAAUAGAUAUGUUUAAAGCACUAUAUAUACGUAUAUGGACAAGAAUUAUCUCACCUUGUUACAAGUAGACCUCGUUCUUAUCUAAAAAUUAUUUGUCACAUGUAUAUCAUCAAGAUUCUUCCAUUAUUGUAUUGUACGGCUGGGUAAUAAUGUUGGAAAAAUGAGCAAUAAUUUUUUUCUUAAUAAUAGAGAAAAAAACAAAUUAUUUGUCCAUUUAUUGUCAUAGUGUGUGUUCAGAGAAGAGAUCAAUAU